This 657-nucleotide long non-coding RNA is filed under the name Ananas comosus (pineapple). RNAcentral describes it as "long non-coding RNA (ACOM_LNC034860)". Lineage: Eukaryota; Viridiplantae; Streptophyta; Magnoliopsida; Poales; Bromeliaceae. The record is from RNAcentral.
UAUGGCUAAAUUAUAGAAAACCCUCCUGUAAUGACCCGCUUUUUCACUUUCCCCCCCUGACAUUUAAAAACCUAUACUUUGCCCCAUUAUAAAAUGAAAAAUGUUCACAGGGGGGUCACGGUGUGUAAAAUGACCAUUUUGCCCCUCGCCAUUGUUGUCUUCUUCCUGAGCUUCUUCAGCCGCCCCUUCGAUCCGCCGCUAUUUCCACCUUAAUCGGCCACGAUUCCUCUCCAAUUUCUUCUCCACCUGCUCCCCUUCUCCUCCUACACCGUCGCCGCCCAUCGAUUUCGGCGACAGUAGGGAGGAUACUAAGAUGGGUGUUGAUGGAGAGGUAGGCAGGGACAACGAGGGCGAAGGCGAGGUGGCGGAGGAGGACGAAAGGGAUGUGGGCGAGGGCGAAGCAGUAGAGGACGGCGAGGCGGCGAGGCGGCGAAGCGGCGAGCGGAGGGAGCGAAGCAUCAGAGAAGAGGCAGAGGGGUAUUUUCGGUAUAAAAAAAUAUUUUUUAACAGAACCCCUAACGGAACCCUAACGGUAGGGGUGAAGUGCACACUUUUCAUUUUACAAGGGGACAAAGUGUAGGAUUUUAAAUGUCAGGGGGGGAAAGUGAAAAACGGGUUAUUACAGAGGGGUUUUCUGUAAUUUAGCCUAUAUAUAUA